UUUGAUUAGUUUUUUUUCAAAAUAUUUUAUUGAUAUUUAAAUUACUGGUGAGGAAGAACUUACUUCUAUAAUUUUCAAGAUUUGUUGAUUUCUUAUAAUUUUUUUCUACUAUUAAAAUCUGUGAUUUAUUGAUUGUGGUGUGGGUGACUCAAAACCUUUAGAUGGAGACCUGAAUCCAAGACACAAGCAUGCACAGAAGGAGGCACCAAAUGACAUUCAGGAUCAUGAUGGGGAUGUGUUAAAGGGCAGUACACAACAAAUGGUCAGAUGAUUGGUGGGACAGGAAGGUUAGGGCUGUGGACAGAGAAUCAGCAGAUCAUUGCUGUACUCAGAAACCCCAGAGAUUCAUCUACAAGUGUCAGAUAUAUAAUUGUGUGCAGAAGCCCACAGGUAUGAUGGGGCUCAGUCCACCAAUAAAAUAGCCAUAUUAACAGGAGAACAGUAAAGGAACCCAAGAGUUUAAGGAAAGGCAGAACUUUUAGGAAGAGCUUGCUUCAUCAGACUUGGUGUUAAUUGUUGAAUAAAGACAAAGAUGACAGGAGCACCCAGACACAUAUAUCAAUGUUACUUGUGUGAUAAGAAUAAAGUGCUUGAGCCUGGUGUCAUGACACAUGGAGGUUGUGGCAGAGGAUUACAAGUUCAAUACCAGCCUCCCCCACACAGAUUUUGAAGAUAAAGCUGGGGUCAGGUGGAGUACUGCUGUCUGAUGGAGAAGCAGAUCUAAAGAGUUAUGCCAGCAAUCUUUAUUUAUAUAUGUCUCAUUAUCAGGCUAACGACUAUGCAAGCAUUAUUCCUUGUAUUUGGAAAGUUUCCAAACUAAAAACCUCUAUACAGAUUUCCCACAGUUGCAAUGUGAAUGUUAGGAGUUUUGCUUAGCAAACCUGAAGGUCCAAUGUAUAAAGUUACUGUUAAGCAGGCAGGCUCAGGAUUAGCAGAACUGGUGAAACACUGUGGUUAUUUGCAUGAGAAUUCCUCUAUCUCAGGGAGGUAUGUGCCUGAGAUCAAAGUCAAGACUGAUAAGCACAGAGCCUCCACAGGCAGGGCUUUACCAUAGCAGCUAAGUAUCCUAUGCCUCUGCACAGAAACAUUCCCAGGCACCAGGCAAGCCCCAGCCAUGAGGUCAUCAGAGACCCCAAUCUCAGUCACAUCUUUCAAUUUUUUUUUGUCACCAGUCUCCACAGAGGUGAAGUCCUGUCCUCAUGGGGAAAUAAACAGGCUAUGGGGCUCGAGAUUCCCAGCCCCCUUUCUAUCUGAUUCAAGGCUUCAUCUUUCAUACACUGAAUGAUUAUGGACACAGGUGCCAUAGUUACAGAAGAGUCAAGAGCAAAGGCUGAUGUAGGAUACAGGGAGAAAGUGAGGGUCCUGCAGGCAGAUUCUUGAAGAGAGACAGAAAGAGUGGGCUCUGGGGGCUGAGACCCACAGGGACAGUGUCAGUGGACAGCUCUGCAGAGGACAGCCUCUUCCCUCAACACAGCACAAGAUCCUCCUUGAGAGGAUGGGAGAGGGCAGUGGCUCUAAAAGCAACAGGGCAGCUGCCAUCACUGCUCCACAGGUGCUGGUGGGUUUUCCUGGGCUCACCACCAGUCAGGUGCUGUGCCCUACCCCUCUGGAAUGUUGAGGGAUUCAAUCACAACAGCUCUCAAGCAGGCAUUCUUAAAGAGGGGGACAUUGAGAUGGAGUGAGGCUGAUGACUUUCUUAAGCCACAGAACUAUUCAAGAUACAGCACAGGGGCUUUAUCCAGGAGUCCUGGCUCCAGAUAUACAAUGCAGCCAUUCCUGCCUGAGGACAAGGGACCUUUUUUUGUUGAGUUGGGUCAGCUAUUAAAAUCCUCUCUACACUGAGAGUGGGAGGGUUGAGUGAUGGAAUGACAGAUGCCAGCUCCUGCCAGAGCAGAUAGCAAGAAUUUGCCCCAUGUGGGGAAAAUAGUCUGUCUUAAAGUUUCUGCCCCUCUAACACACCCUGUGUGUAUAUCAUAGCCCAUCCCCUGCAUGGGGAUCAAGCUUCCAACCCUCUUCAUAUGAAGCUUAAGUCCUGGGUGUCUUGGGUUUUCAUUGUCCUGGACUUCAGUUCAUAGAGUAGAAAACAAGUCCUGUCCUGGAACUGAGGCUAGAGAGCCAACUCAGGAGGAGGCCAGUCUGGGAAAGCCCCAAGCUUUAUUUCUCCCUAACCCAAGGAACAGACCAGAGAGUCUUUCUGUGGAAGCUUCACCCUGUUUUUGAGGAGUAGGAUAGAGGCAAACUUGUGGUUGUGGACAAAGUGACCCAGAGUUACUUGGGCUUAGAGGGGGCCUUAUUGAUAGCUGGAGGGAGAUUUGCAAUCCCAUUAGGUGGUUUAGGGGUCUACUACUUGUGUUGGUGGAACCUUACUUUUCUGUAUUUUAUUGAAAUUGUGCAAUAGAACACACAUCUAGAAAGAGCACAGUAUCCCUUUAUGAUCAUUAAUAGGCAAUUGAAGUGAACACUCAGGUGCCACAUUAGGAUGCAAGCACUCCUAGAAAGCUUCUGUCCCCUUGAUCAACAAACAAAAGCCUCCCACAUCAUCACUUGCUGUCUCAGGCAGUGGCUUUCUGUGUUCAUCUGUUUUCACACUGCCCAAUGCUGCUCACU
Molecule: long non-coding RNA, 2607 nt
Filed under: Marmota monax (woodchuck)
Lineage: Eukaryota; Metazoa; Chordata; Mammalia; Rodentia; Sciuridae
Source: RNAcentral